Molecule: long non-coding RNA, 3382 nt
Organism: Mustela lutreola (European mink)
Lineage: Eukaryota; Metazoa; Chordata; Mammalia; Carnivora; Mustelidae
Exons: 5
Source: RefSeq, a predicted model, not a curated record
GAUGAAGCACCGGGGCUCUUCCACAUAAAAACUUGCACUUUUGGAAAUGUUGCUCCCACCUUCAUCCCUUUCCUGAUCAUUUGGCAUGAGUCUGACUACACAGAGAGGCAGCUGCCAAACUACAGAAAGAUGAAGGUGGACGUGUUUAAAAAGGGCAACGAGACAGAGUAAAAAUGUUUUUUAAGAUUAAGCUGCACACAUGCUCUGAAAAUGAGCACAGAGACUGAGUCACAGUUAAAAGAAGGAAUGAGACUGAGGCCAAGUGAUUGAUGGUUUUGAGAGAAUCAGACUGUUUUUAUGUUUUGGUAAUUCCUUCUGGAUUUUUAAAAAACAACUUCUUGCUAAUCCAACAGCAUUUCUUAAGCACGCACAGUGGCACAGGGACGUAUUCUGGAAAACCUGUCAUGAAAGCUCAAGAAACUGCUCUCGCUCCAAACCAGUUCAAGUGCCACCUUCCCCGCUGGAGCGCCUCUGAACCUUUCAGGUCAUGCUUUCCCCCCUCUUUCCUCACGUUCUCAGGUCUCAGAGCACAAACUACUAACCUCAGCCGCUUUGACCUCAGCUCCGGCCUGUAUCCCGAGCUGGCACGAACCUGGGACAAAAGCUCUGCCCCUGGCAUAUGGGCGCGCCUACAGCUGGCGAUCACCGCCAGGACACAGAAUUUCUAUGAACGUGUUAUCUCUCGCUUCACUCUAAAUUUGCACUUAAUAGGUUUGGGCAUUUUUUUCAUAUUGAUUGUUAGAAAAGGUAGUGGACAUUCUCCUAAGAGGCUUUCUUUUCUCAACAAAACCUUUUCAAAUUCUGUUUUAAAUGAACUACACAGCAUUAAAGUGACAAGCAAAUGUAUCAAUGGCCGCAGGGAGUGUCAGACAGCAGUGUGAAAGCACCGUGCUAAAGCAUUUACUCUGAAGUCUAAAAUUAGAUGGUUUUUAUUACAGUCUGCUUAUAAGAAUCCUGAAAGGAUGAAUACCCUGCACCGCAGUCUGAAAGCUGACAAGGUAUCGCUUAACUAUUUCCUUCUUUCCUUCUCCCUUUGAAGCAUCAGGUGUUUGGCUCAGCGGGUAAGAAGGCGAAACCACACCCGCCAACCUUCUGCCUCUCCUCAGAACAGCUGAUCUGGAAGAAACCUGCCACAUGCCGGGCCUCUGUGGACAGCCUGCGUGGCCCACGGCACCUCUCCUGUCACUCAGCAGUGCUGACUUUGCCUUACAGACCCCCGCAAUAGGUGUUUUAAGAUGAAACGUCUAAGUAAACAUAAAUGAGUGAGAAGCUCCUCUCAGAAGGGAGGAAUGACUGACUGGCUCUGAGGAGAAACAAGAAAUGUCCUGGUUUUGCUCCUGAGGCACAAGGGACAGAAACUAAAAAAGGUAGGUACACAGAGGAAUACACCAGCUGCCCGGCGCAGCCACGCACGUGUCCCCUUCCGGAGUCCCGAGUCCAGGCGGAGGCCGUGCUCCCCCCAGCAGGUCAACACCUGCCAGCCUGGAGGACUGCAGCGAGACGCACCAGAGAAAAUGCCAAGCGGCGCUCUAGUCCUGUCUGGUCACAGAUUCUGGGAACAGCUCUCUGUUUCUUCGUCAGGUGUUUAUUGGUGGCAAGGAUAUAUCCUUAAAACAGAAACCUGCACUCUGGGUGAGAAUGCUUUGAUGUGUUACCAUAAAUGAGGACCUGCUGGCACUAAAAUACCGCCAGGCUGCCCCAAAUCAAACAUCUAGGUUUUCGAGCCGAGGAGAGCCAAAAGUCUUUUGUAUCCUGAGAGUGGAAGACAGUGAUCUUUGUGCUGCCGGCAAUGGGCACUACUGGGAAGCUCUAAUGAGCCAAGAGGUGGGAAGUGCUCUGGUGACUGGAGUACCACCCAGAUGUAAGACAGUAUCCUUAAAUGACUCUCCUGAGAAACCCUCUGGCCCACAUUUCUACGUCACUUCAGAUCCACAGGAGUCAAAUUUCUCUGUCAAUCUACGGAAGUCUUUGUAAGCAUCAGUGAUGGAGGAGACCCGGAUCCAAAAGCCAGCCAACCUGCAAACAAACGGUAACACAGACUCUGAAAAACAAGCGCCCAGCCUACAGCUGCUGUCUCAAAUGUGGGCGAGAGGCCCUUCAGCGGCGGAGUUACACAGAUCUUCACAGGCCUCCAACCACAGGACCCGCGUGCAAAUACCGCAGAGAGUGGCUGUGAAGAGAGCGCACCAUCACAGCACACACCCCAGCACCACCCCACUCGGUCUGCCUCUCAAAGAAGCACGAGACAACUGUCAAACUGACAGAGGAACGCAGCAAUAACUGUGGCUACAGGACUUCACCUGGAUUUCACCCGUCUUUCACCGAUGUCCUUUUUCUACUCCAGGACUGGAUGCUGCAUCCCACAUGCCCUUACCGGUCACAUACCCUUCGUCUCCUCUGGUCUGUGACCGCUCCAUCUUUCCUCAUUUUGCAUGACCUUAAAAACUGCAGAGUACUGGGUGGAUAUCUCAUGGAACAUCCCGUAAUUUGGGUCUUAAAUUUUCUUGGAUAGAGAGCAUGGAUUUUUGGAAGAGUACCAAAGAGGUGAUGUGACCCUCUUAGCACAUACCAGAAGGUAUGUCAUUCCAUUAUUGGUGAUGUUAAACUCGAUUGCUGGAGAAAGUCGCGUCUUCGAGGACUCCCUACUACAAAAUUACUAUUGUUCCCUUUGUCAGUUAUUUGGGGAGAGACAUUUUGAGGCUAUGCAAACACCCUGUUUUUCCUUAAACUUUUGCUCACUCAUUUUAGCAUCCAUUGACCCUGUCUGGCCAUGAUCUCUGUACUGUGGUAAUGACAGUGAUGAUUUGCUAUUUCUCUCAUUCUUUCUACAUGUAAUAAUUAGAACUCUUCUCUAAGGAAGAGCUGUUUCUUUCAUCAUUUUUAUCAAUAACAGACUUGGUAUUUUGUAUUCCUUGGGUACUAAUCCAAUACUAUUGUUACUUAUUUUGUUGCUUAAAUUGUUCUAGUUUGGGCCACUGGAGCUCUUCGGAGAGGCUGGUUCCUGUAAGCAUUUCACCUGCACUUCCUUAUCCUCUGGCACCUCCGACUCAUCCUGUAUUUUCAUUGCCCCCACUCUAUAAUCAAUCAUUUCUCCAAGGAAUCCUGAUUCCUUUUAUUGGAGAAUGUUUAGACACGAAGAUCUGAGUACUAGGUGUGUUCAGUUAUCAGGUGCCAUUACCUGAAGGGUCUGUCGGUAGAGCUAGGAAAUAUAUGAGGUACACUAUUCACGUGUAUAUACAUUGAUAUUUCUCUAUCUAUGUUAAGAAAGUAAGUUCAUACUGAAAGUUCCAACAAUAGCCCAGAAACACAGUCUUCACUAUAGCCUUCCUUCCCCAACCCCAACCACCUUGCUUAUUUGUAAGUUUUUUCCCCUCCAACAAUG